Molecule: ribosomal RNA, 279 nt
Filed under: Triticum aestivum (bread wheat)
Lineage: Eukaryota; Viridiplantae; Streptophyta; Magnoliopsida; Poales; Poaceae
Description: partial small subunit ribosomal RNA
Source: RNAcentral
AUGCACACGCCGCUGUGCAGCGACGACGUGAGGUACACCAUCCCGGCCGUGCCCAUGAAGCAGGCCUGCCACGUCGCCACCAGCGCGGCCACCAACACCCAGUACGCCGCCGGCGACUUGUCCCACCGCGCCAGCUCCUCGCUCCACCUGCCGGCCACCACCAGCCCGACCACCGCCAGCGCGGUCGCCGCGGCCUGCAUCACUACCUGCACCUCCACCACCAUCCGGAACCCGCCGGACACGGCCCUGCGGUACAGCAGCUCCAUGACAGGCAGGUAG